GGAUCAUUACUGAGUGAGGGCCCUCCGGCCCGACCUCCAACCCCAUGUUAUCCGACCACUGUUGCCUCGGGGGCGACCCGGCCUUCGGGCGUCGGGGCCCCCGGUGGACCCCUAACUCUGCAUCUCUGCGUCUGAGUGGAUUAUUGAAUCAAUCAAAACUUUCAACAACGGAUCUCUUGGUUCUGGCAUCGAUGAAGAACGCAGCGAAAUGCGAUAAGUAAUGUGAAUUGCAGAAUUCAGUGAAUCAUCGAAUCUUUGAACGCACAUUGCGCCCCCUGGUAUUCCGGGGGGCAUGCCUGUUCGAGCGUCAUUACACCACUCAAGCCUGGCUUGGUAUUGGGCCGUCGCGGGUCAAACCGCGUGCCCUAAUGUCGUUCGGCUGGACCGCCCGUCUCUAAGCGUUGUGGCUACAAACUAUCCGCUUGUGAGCACGGGGGGGAACCCGGCCGUUAAACCUCCAUCAAAGGUUGACCUC
Molecule: ribosomal RNA, 475 nt
Filed under: fungal sp. EXP0533F
Lineage: Eukaryota; Fungi
Description: eukaryotic LSU rRNA
Rfam family: 5.8S ribosomal RNA (bases 157-310)
Source: RNAcentral